GCGGAUGUGGCGGAAUUGGUAUACGCGCACGUUUGAGGGGCGUGUGGCUUGCGCCUUGCGAGUUCGAGUCUCGCCAUCCGCAUCA
This 85-nucleotide transfer RNA is filed under the name Gloeothece citriformis PCC 7424. RNAcentral describes it as "tRNA-Leu". It matches the Rfam family "tRNA". Rfam says of the family: Transfer RNA (tRNA) molecules are approximately 80 nucleotides in length. Their secondary structure includes four short double-helical elements and three loops (D, anti-codon, and T loops). Further hydrogen bonds mediate the characteristic L-shaped molecular structure. tRNAs have two regions of fundamental functional importance: the anti-codon, which is responsible for specific mRNA codon recognition, and the 3' end, to which the tRNAs corresponding amino acid is attached (by aminoacyl-tRNA synthetases). tRNAs cope with the degeneracy of the genetic code in two manners: having more than one tRNA (with a specific anti-codon) for a particular amino acid; and 'wobble' base-pairing, i.e. permitting non-standard base-pairing at the 3rd anti-codon position. Lineage: Bacteria; Bacillati; Cyanobacteriota; Cyanophyceae; Chroococcales; Aphanothecaceae. The record is from RNAcentral.